Molecule: transfer RNA, 48 nt
Filed under: Brookesia brygooi
Lineage: Eukaryota; Metazoa; Chordata; Lepidosauria; Squamata; Chamaeleonidae
Description: partial tRNA-Leu
Source: RNAcentral
ACUUUUAAAGGAAAAUAGUUAUCCAAUGGCCCUAGGAACCAAAGUUCU